UUGCAAGCUACAAUACAGCGGUUGCAUUGGAGUGGCUUCCGGAGGUUUUCCCCAUGUCAUCCUUGUCAUGCCAGCUCACUGCGCCAGCUUUGGCGCUGUUGUUGCAGUUCAGGACAGAGGCUUCGUAUUCAAGAUUUGAAUAAGGGAGGAAGGCUUGGACUAAAGUGAUUGCAGGGACCAAUGAUUUUGCCAGGCAGAUCAUUUUGGGGGUUGAGAGUUCGGGUAAUGCAGAGCUAAAGAAGGCACUUUUAAGGUGUAAAUCUAGAAUUUUUCGAUGUGGUCUAUUUGAACCCUUUGAUAUUUCAUAUCUGCUCAUACUACUUGCUGGUUUUAGAUUAGUAAGAAAUAGCCUGAGAUAGAUGCAAGGUUAUUGAAGUCGAUCAUUGAUUAACUAGGAAGCAUUACCUAUUGCUGAAGCUCGUGUCCUAAUUAUAGGGCACCUAUAGUUGUAUGGCUGUAGAAAGUAUAGAGGAACGUAAUUUUAUGGUUUAUGUUUUCGAGCUUUAGAUGUUGAGGAAGAUAUGAAUACAGCAAGUUACAUCUAGUAAUGGGACCUGAUACACCAACAUGAGGUGUUGGUUCCCCAAUAGUUUCAAGUGCACAUCUGCCCAUCUGCAGUGUUUUAUACUUAUGGAAGCCAUUGCGUCUUUGGUAGAACUCAGCUUCAUUAGCUUGGUUUCUUUACAUAAUAGGAUUAUGUUUCUUUUUCAGUUUUUAAACUGUUUUUUGAUCAUAUUGAUGUGAUCAGUUGUUAUGUAUUAACUUUUUUAUUGAAGUGUCAUGUCAUAUGUGGCUCUAAUGUGGGACACGUGACCUCCAAAAUUUUCUUAAACUAGAUGAUCUGCUAGUUGUUUUAAGCUCAAAUCAUGGACCUGGCUGCAUUAUUGAGUUCAUCUCCCAGGCUAUCUGAAUGCUAAAGUUGGAGGAAUCGAGGAGAAAUAUGUUGGAAUUAUGCCUUGCUUCCAUGAAGGAAUUGGUGUAUGUGAAAAUCUCAUCGGUACUGCCAUUCCUCUCUCUUAUACACGCUUGACUUAUAGGAUUCUAGUCCUCUGGCAUCUCACUCUCCCUAUCGUACUUGGGGAUGACUUCCACUGGAUUGUGGUUCCGGCGACCUUUAUUAGCGCUGCUUCGUUGUUCUGCAUUGAAGAAUUCAUUAAUAUUAGAAACAUGGUCUCUCCCACAAUCAUUGCCUGUCGUAGUUUGUCUUAUCUCAUGGAUGAGAGAGGCCUCUGGAAGCUCUAAAUGAUGCAAUGCAAGCUCAAGUACUUUCCCCUGUAUGGCACAUUGCAUCUUAUCUACAGGCUGCUUCCCUUUUUGUACUCGGAAUGGAGACUGAGGGGUCUGAGGCACAAUCAGCACUGAAGGAGGGUACUGUGCUUGAAGCCAAAAGGAACACUGCAGCUGGACACAAGUGAAAAUCAAGGUUCAGCUGCUCAGGUACCAAAUAAGACACUACUCAGUUUUGCUCUCAACAUGUGUUCACAGAAAGUCCCAAACAAGGGAAGUCGAAUCUUCAUCCAGUACCAAAGUACAAAUGUUGACAGUACAUCUGAUAUAUCAGAAGUUUCUGAUACUUAAUCAAGGACACAAAGGGAUUAGGACUUAAUACCCAUGCCAAACAUGGCUACGUAAAGAUAAAAAUGUACUGAACACUCUUUUAUCCAAAAUAAAAGACUGAUAAACUUGGAGACUUAAUUGAGUAGAUGAUUGCCCAGCGCCAGUUUGCAUUGAAAGGAAGCACCUUGUCCCCUGAAGAUGUUGUUGCUGUAUAAAACAUCAGUCGAGAACAUACCGCUUAGGAUUGCCUAUUAAGCAUCUCCUUUAACUUCCGUCUUAUCAAAGCUAACCUCACAUAGAGCCAAUCAUUUAGAGCAUUCAAGAAGUUGUAGUAUGCAUAUCUCCAUGACCUCUUGAAUAUCAAACUGCCCAAAAUCCAACAGCAAAUCCGAGUCCCAAACUUAUGUAGAACCCUUG
Long non-coding RNA from Argentina anserina (silverweed cinquefoil), 1974 nucleotides. RefSeq lists it as uncharacterized. Lineage: Eukaryota; Viridiplantae; Streptophyta; Magnoliopsida; Rosales; Rosaceae. The record is from RefSeq and is a predicted model, not a curated record. The transcript has 3 exons.